This 1419-nucleotide long non-coding RNA is filed under the name Homo sapiens (human). RNAcentral describes it as "HSALNT0177337". The record is from RNAcentral. Lineage: Eukaryota; Metazoa; Chordata; Mammalia; Primates; Hominidae.
GGCGCAUCAUAACCGCCGCCGCCCUCGCCACACCGCCUCCCCAUUGGCUGCGGCGCCGCCCCCAACCCAGAGCGCUGCGGCCUCCGUGAGCGGGGCCUGGGCGAAGGGGGCGGGGCGUCGAGGGGGCGCCCCGGCGGUCGCAGGGAAGGGGGAGAGGGGAGCGAGGCGCGGGGGGCGCCGGGAGAGCGCCUCCGCGGUGGGACGGAGCCGGACUGGGCCGAGCGAGGGAGGCUCCUGAGCCUCGGAGGACCCCGGGGUUGGCUUUGGGAGCUGAAAGUUUCCUUGGACCCCUCGGAAGCCCCGUGACAUCAGAGGCCGGGCCUGGCAGGGGCAGGCAGGAAACGUGUCUGGAGGCUACUGCCCUCUCCGCGUGACCUUGGGCGAGCAGCCUCCUCCUGGGGCUCAGUGGGUGUGAUUUUGUAACAUUUCCCAGCGCUGCCACAGGCGCGUCUCGCCCUGUCCAACGCGGAGCCCGAAGAAUUACUAAGAAACCGAGGUCUGAAGGAGGGAAGAGGUGACGGGCUCGAGGCCACACGGUGGGCCAGGCUGGGCCCGGCUGCACGCCGGCUACCGGGGCCCAGCCCUCUGCACGCCUCCCGCAGCCUCAGUUUCCCUGUCCGUGGUACUGAGGAUGCUCGGGCCUAGAAGUUCAGGGCUGGAGGCCCAGGGACCGUCGAGGGAGGGGCAUCAUCCCCGCCAUGGGGCCGCCGCAACUGCCCAGAGCACAGGCCAAAGACCCCUGAGGCCCCCUCCUCCUUCAGAGCAUGCACGUCGCAAAUUCUCAAUGACUGUUUGGAGGAAUGAAUAAAUGAAUUGUGAACAAAUGGUCUGAAGAUUCCAGAGGCACACCAGAAGACUACAUUUCCUAGCCCCCCACCCCCUUGCAGUGUCUGGGACCAUGUGACUCCUUAAUUAGGUCACUUCUCUCUCCUGGGAGGCCCUCUCUGCCCUCUCUAAGUCUAACUAGUGGCAAAGGAUCUAAGGGAAGAAACCUGGCAGAGUUACUAGUCCCAAGAAGCCUGGGUCCCUGAAUCACCACAUGGAAGUCUACGCGCCCACCACCUGAAUGGACUAAGGAAGCUGCAGGAUGAAGACAACAGCAUCACAAGGAGGAAGCCAGGAUCCCUGUGUUACCACAAGGAGGAGAGAUGCCUAACCAAGACCGUCUGCAAGGAUUUUGUGUGAGCCAGAAGCAGAGCUGUAUGGUGUUCAGCCACUGAGAUUUGAGGGCUGUUUGUUACAGCAGUUGACCUAUCCUGACUGACACAUCACAUCAUUCCUUUCCCCACCAUGUGUCUAACAUGCUACCAAAUUGAAUUUUAAGUAAAUUAGUACUUAUAAAUUAAGUACAAAUGCUUUUCAAAUUCACAUGAAUCUUUGGUAAAUAAAACUGGUUGUAAAAUUAUUGAUAAAUAUAGA